RNAcentral lists this ribosomal RNA (497 nucleotides) under uncultured bacterium. RNAcentral describes it as "partial 16S ribosomal RNA". The stretch from base 54 to 497 matches the Rfam family "Bacterial small subunit ribosomal RNA", at positions 35 to 507 of the family's 1533-position model. The record is from RNAcentral.
GGGGGGGGGGGGGGGGGGGGGGGGGGGGUGGGGGGCGGGGGGGCGGGCGAGGAGGUGGCGGCGCGGAUGGUAGCGGCGGACGGGUGAGUAACACGUGGAUAACCUACCUAUAAGACUGGGAUAACUUCGGGAAACCGGAGCUAAUACCGGAUAAUAUUUUGAACCGCAUGGUUCAAAAGUGAAAGACGGUCUUGCUGUCACUUAUAGAUGGAUCCGCGCUGCAUUAGCUAGUUGGUAAGGUAACGGCUUACCAAGGCAACGAUGCAUAGCCGACCUGAGAGGGUGAUCGGCCACACGGGAACUGAGACACGGUCCAGACGCCUACGGGAGGCAGCAGUAGGGAAUCUUCCGCAAUGGGCGAAAGCCUGACGGAGCAACGCCGCGUGAGUGAUGAAGGUCUUCGGAUCGUAAAACUCUGUUAUUAGGGAAGAACAUAUGUGUAAGUAACUGUGCACAUCUUGACGGUACCUAAUCAGAAAGCCACGGCUAACUACGUG